Molecule: ribosomal RNA, 301 nt
Filed under: uncultured bacterium
Lineage: Bacteria
Description: partial 16S ribosomal RNA
Rfam family: Bacterial small subunit ribosomal RNA
Source: RNAcentral
CAGUAGCCGCGGGAAUACGAAGGGUGCAAGCGUUACUCGGAAUUACUGGGCGUAAAGCGUGCGUAGGUGGUGGUUUAAGUCCGUUGUGAAAGCCCUGGGCUCAACCUGGGAAUUGCAGUGGAUACUGGGUCACUAGAGUGUGGUAGAGGAUAGUGGAAUUUCCGGUGUAGCAGUGAAAUGCGUAGAGAUCGGAAGGAACAUCUGUGGCGAAGGCGACUAUCUGGGCCAACACUGACACUGAGAGACGAAAGCUAGGGGAGCAAAUGGGAUUAGAUACCCCAGUAGUCCCUGUCUCUUAUAC